ACAGGAAUAGUUAUCUGCUUAGUCUCAUCCUUUGUAUCUGGCAAUCUGAGGAAAAGGUCUGAGCCAGCAUGAAGACAGAAUCCCCUCUUCAUUAGAGAAAAACUUUCUGCCUGACGCAGUUCAUUUCAAGAAGUGCACGAUGACAGAGCGUGGAAUUAAAUGGGCUUGUGAGUAUUGUACAUAUGAAAAUUGGCCAUCUGCAAUCAAAUGUACCAUGUGUCGUGCUCAGAGACCUAGUGGAACAAUUAUCACAGAAGAUCCAUUUAAAAGUGGUUCAAGUGAUAUUGGCAGAGACUGGGAUCCUACAAGCACUGAAGGAGGGAGUAGUCCUUUGAUAUGUCCAGAUUCUAGUGCAAGACCAAGGGUUAAAUCAUCUUACAGUAUGGAAAGUGCAAAUAAGUGGUCGUGCCACAUGUGCACAUACUUGAACUGGCCAAGAGCGAUAAGAUGUACUCAGUGCUUGUCUCAACGUAGGACCAGGAGUCCCACAGAGUCUCCUCAGUCUUCAGGUUCUGGUUCAAGACCAGUCCCUUUUUCUGUUGAUCCAUGCGAGGAAUAUAAUGACAGAAAUAAACUAAACACAAGGGCUCAGCACUGGACUUGUUCUGUUUGUACAUAUGAAAACUGGGCAAAGGCCAGGAAAUGCGUUGUAUGUGAUCAUCCCAGACCUAACAACAUCGAAGCAAUAGAACUGGCAGACACAGAAGAGGCUUCUUCGAUCAUAAACGAGCAAGACAGAGCUCGAUGGAGAGGAAGCUGUAGUAGUGGUAAUAGCCAAAGAAGAUCUCCACCUACAACCAAACGUGAAUCUGAUGUGAAGAUGGACUUCCAAAGAAUUGAAUUGGCUGGGGCUGUUGGCAGCAAGGAAGAACUUGAAGUUGACUUCAAAAAACUAAAACAAAUAAAAAAUCGGAUGAAAAAGACUGACUGGCUGUUUCUAAAUGCUUGUGUUGGUAAGUUGUUUGCUGCUACCUUAUACUGUUACGUCUGUGGUUAGGUAUUUUGGGAGAAUGAAAAAUUAAAACAUAAACUUGACAUUUGAUUUCAAAACAGCUUUUUUAAUCUCUGCUUUUUAAUUUUAAAAAGUAAACCAAAUGUGGAACUUCCUGAAAUAGCACCUGCUAAGAGAGGGUGCAGAGUUCACCCAUAAUCUGAACAGAGUUAGACAUGUUUCCCAACUAUGCUUGGACUUUUUUGACCUCUUGUAGAAAUGGAUAUCCGUGUAACCAAAUCCUAUUGUUCUUGUAGUCAUCGAAAGGUGGAAAAAUAGCAAAACCAGUUUAGAGAACAACAUAAUGCAUAUAGAACUGU
RNA transcript from Cariama cristata (Red-legged seriema), 1311 nucleotides. It is a transcript of the gene named ubiquitin thioesterase ZRANB1 pseudogene, with no coding region annotated. The transcript is spliced from 2 exons. The record is from RefSeq and is a predicted model, not a curated record. NCBI's taxonomy places the organism in Eukaryota, Metazoa, Chordata, Aves, Cariamiformes, Cariamidae.